AUGUUCUCUUUGGCAGCAGAUACACUAAAAUUCGAAUCAUACAGAGAAGAUUAGCAUGGCACCUGCACAAG
RNAcentral lists this small nuclear RNA (71 nucleotides) under Apaloderma vittatum (bar-tailed trogon). Lineage: Eukaryota; Metazoa; Chordata; Aves; Trogoniformes; Trogonidae. The record is from RNAcentral.